UACGAAGGGGGCUAGCGUUGCUCGGAAUCACUGGGCGUAAAGGGCGCGUAGGCGGCCAUUCAAGUCGGGGGUGAAAGCCCAGGGCUCAACCCUGGAAUUGCCUUCGAUACUGUUUGGCUAGAGACCGGAAGAGGUUAGUGGAACUGCGAGUGUAGAGGUGAAAUUCGUAGAUAUUCGCAAGAACACCAGUGGCGAAGGCGGCUAACUGGUCCGGUUCUGACGCUGAGGCGCGAAAGCGUGGGGAGCAAACAGG
Molecule: ribosomal RNA, 253 nt
Filed under: Methylobacteriaceae bacterium
Lineage: Bacteria; Pseudomonadati; Pseudomonadota; Alphaproteobacteria; Hyphomicrobiales; Methylobacteriaceae
Also listed under: 1 other name
Description: partial 16S ribosomal RNA
Rfam family: Bacterial small subunit ribosomal RNA
Source: RNAcentral